AUACGUAGGGUGCAAGCGUUAAUCGGAAUUACUGGGCGUAAAGCGUGCGCAGGCGGUUAUGUAAGACAGAUGUGAAAUCCCCGGGCUCAACCUGGGAACUGCAUUUGUGACUGCAUAGCUAGAGUACGGUAGAGGGGGAUGGAAUUCCGCGUGUAGCAGUGAAAUGCGUAGAUAUGCGGAGGAACACCGAUGGCGAAGGCAAUCCCCUGGACCUGUACUGACGCUCAUGCACGAAAGCGUGGGGAGCAAACAGGAUUAGAUACCCUGGUAGUCCACGCCCUAAACGAUGUCAACUGGUUGUUGGGUCUUCACUGACUCAGUAACGAAGCUAACGCGUGAAGUUGACCGCCUGGGGAGUACGGCCGCAAGGUUGAAACUCAAAUGAAUUGACGGGG
This 395-nucleotide ribosomal RNA is filed under the name uncultured bacterium. Its description in RNAcentral is "partial 16S ribosomal RNA". It matches the Rfam family "Bacterial small subunit ribosomal RNA", at positions 523 to 918 of the family's 1533-position model. The record is from RNAcentral.